Molecule: ribosomal RNA, 208 nt
Filed under: uncultured bacterium
Lineage: Bacteria
Description: partial 16S ribosomal RNA
Rfam family: Bacterial small subunit ribosomal RNA
Source: RNAcentral
UACGUAGGGGGCAAGCGUUGUCCGGAUUUAUUGGGCGUAAAGAGCGUGUAGGCGGCCUGAAAGGUCAGUUGUGAAAACUCGAGGCUUAACCUCGAGACGUCGGUUGAAACCAUCUGGCUAGAGUCCGGAAGAGGAGUGUGGAAUUCCCGGUGUAGCGGUGAAAUGCGCAGAUAUCAGGAAGAACACCCUGGCUAAGGCGGCUCUCUAG